Molecule: long non-coding RNA, 302 nt
Filed under: Fukomys damarensis (Damara mole-rat)
Lineage: Eukaryota; Metazoa; Chordata; Mammalia; Rodentia; Bathyergidae
Description: lncRNA (ENSFDAG00000033647.1)
Source: RNAcentral
GAGCCACGCAUAAUGGGCCUAUUGACUCAGCCAGCGUGCUCUUCCCUCCUGGGCUGCACAGACUCAGGCGUUGGGCCUGGGCCCCAGGAACUGUUGGGGAAGUUGGGGGUCUCUAAAUGGGCUUUGUUCACUCACCAGAAGCGAAAUCUCCAAAAGGGCGUGACAUUGCCGUGGAGGCUGGCAACCUGCGUGGGGCGAGCGGAAGAUCUCGCCUGCAGUGCCAGUUUGUCUGGGAGCUUCCAAAGAGGAAGAAAUAGUGCUCUUACCCUUUGGCUCCUGCUGCUAAAGUGAUAAGACAUCAG